RNAcentral lists this ribosomal RNA (468 nucleotides) under uncultured bacterium. RNAcentral's name for it is "partial 16S ribosomal RNA". It matches the Rfam family "Bacterial small subunit ribosomal RNA", at positions 28 to 507 of the family's 1533-position model. The record is from RNAcentral.
GACGAACGCUGGCGGCGUGCCUAACACAUGCAAGUCGAACGGAAACGCCCUGCUAUUGUGGGGUGCUCGAGUGGCGAACGGGUGAGUAACACGUGUGUAACCUGCCCUUGACUUUCGGAUGACUUCAGGAAACUGGGGCUAAUACCGGAUCGGAGCCCCUGCUGCAUGGUGGGGGUUGGAAAGUUUCGGCGGGUGGGGAUGGACUGGCGGCUUAUCAGCUUGUUGGUUGGGUAGUUGCUUACCAAGGCAUUGACGGGUAGGCGGCCUGAGAGGGUGGACGGGGACAAGAGGACUGCGGGAGGGAGCAGUCUGCAACGGGAGGCAACGGGGGGGAAUAUUGCACAAUGGGACCAAGUGUGAGGCAGCAACGCCGCGGGCGGGAUGCCGGCCUUUGGGUUGUAAACCGCUUUCGCCUGAGACGAAGCGGGAGUGACGGUAAUGGGUAAAGAAGCACCGGCUAACUACGUG